AUUGAACGCUGGCGGCAGGCCUAACACAUGCAAGUCGAGCGGAUGAAGGGAGCUUGCUCCUGGAUUCAGCGGCGGACGGGUGAGUAAUGCCUAGGAAUCUGCCUGGUAGUGGGGGAUAACGUCCGGAAACGGGCGCUAAUACCGCAUACGUCCUGAGGGAGAAAGUGGGGGAUCUUCGGACCUCACGCUAUCAGAUGAGCCUAGGUCGGAUUAGCUAGUUGGUGGGGUAAAGGCCAACCAAGGCGACGAUCCGUAACUGGUCUGAGAGGAUGAUCAGUCACACUGGAACUGAGACACGGUCCAGACUCCUACGGGAGGCAGCAGUGGGGAAUAUUGGACAAUGGGCGAAAGCCUGAUCCAGCCAUGCCGCGUGUGUGAAGAAGGUCUUCGGAUUGUAAAGCACUUUAAGUUGGGAGGAAGGGCAGUAAGUUAAUACCUUGCUGUUUUGACGUUACCAACAGAAUAAGCACCGGCUAACUUCGUG
RNAcentral lists this ribosomal RNA (484 nucleotides) under uncultured bacterium. RNAcentral's name for it is "partial 16S ribosomal RNA". It matches the Rfam family "Bacterial small subunit ribosomal RNA", at positions 30 to 507 of the family's 1533-position model. The record is from RNAcentral.